GUGCUCGUUUCAGCGCACAUAUACGAAAAUUGGAAUGAUACAGAGAUUAGCAUGACCCCUGAGCAAGGAUGACAUGUAAAUUCAUAAAGCGUUCCAUAUUUUU
This 103-nucleotide small nuclear RNA is filed under the name Sciurus vulgaris (Eurasian red squirrel). The record is from RNAcentral. Lineage: Eukaryota; Metazoa; Chordata; Mammalia; Rodentia; Sciuridae.